Molecule: long non-coding RNA, 444 nt
Filed under: Haliotis rufescens (red abalone)
Lineage: Eukaryota; Metazoa; Mollusca; Gastropoda; Lepetellida; Haliotidae
Description: uncharacterized LOC124140541, transcript variant X2
Source: RNAcentral
CACACAUUCUACAUUUCUACUGUCGAGCUGAGCUGACAACCAGUUUACGCAAAAUGAAUACACAGGCUAAAGUUCUCGUUUUGGUCCUGAUUGUGACUUUAGUAAGUCAAGGUUUGGGUCAGCCGAGAGUCCGCGAAACUUGCGGGGCACGAUCUUGCAGUGUGGACGAGGAAGAGUGCUACUGGUCAUGUCGUCACGAGUGCUAUGGCGACGGCGCAUGCGGAUAUGAAAUGGAAUAUGGAAAAUAUGUCUGCGAGUGCUACGAUUAAUAGAGCACCUUAUGUAUAGCGUUCUUCUGCAGAAACGCUUUAUUGUCUGUGAUUAAAGAUGAAAAAUAUGAGAGACGCGCCAUUGGAUAAUAACAUCCUACGCGUAUUAGAUAUUCAAGGUCACCGGAAUUUGCAUCUCUUGUGAACAGAGUAAAAGAUUCCCCUUUUUUGUGAA